RNAcentral lists this unclassified non-coding RNA (3757 nucleotides) under Harpegnathos saltator (Jerdon's jumping ant). RNAcentral's name for it is "hormone receptor 4, transcript variant X8". The record is from RNAcentral. Lineage: Eukaryota; Metazoa; Arthropoda; Insecta; Hymenoptera; Formicidae.
AUGUUCCCCACGGGAAGUAACGUCUCGAUUGCCACUAAUCUCCAGUGGGGCCGUGAAGACUGGAGGAACUCGUCGAAUAUGGAUCUAACGGCUCUUUACGGGAUGCAGCAGCGAAGUCUCCUGCCCUACUUGUCCGCGUAUCACCCUUACAAUAGCUUCCCGAUGGCGUCUUACCAGAGCUACUUCCACUUCCGGCACUACUUUCGAUCGCAGCUCACGCUCGAUCCCUAUUUCGCCCUCAAUUAUCACGAAUGCUUGGACGCGAAGGACUUGUACGCGUCGCUUUUCGACUCCCCGGUAUCCCUCGGAUCAGAAGGCUCGCCACUCGGGAACCAGCCGGCGGACGCACCUUCACCCAUAAACUUUCCUGCUCCAGGGGAGAGCAUGGCCGACACCUCGACCCUGUCGCCGGAAGCGAACACGCCGAGCUCGCCGGGCUGCCCUAUGGUCACAGUGAAAAGCGAGUACCUGCUGGGCAGCCCGAGUCCGGGGACACCGCGAGGAGACUCUCUCCGUGGUGCUGGCAGCGGCGGCAGCGGCGGCGGCAGCGGCGGCGGCGGCGGCGGCGGCGGCGGCGGCGGUAGCGGUGCUGGCGGAGGAAGCGGCCAAGAAGGUCGCGACGCGACGUGUUCAGACCGCGCAUCGCCCGACUCGGUCUUCCCGGACGCCAGCCCUAUGCUGAGCUUCAGGGUCGUCGACGAGCCACAGCAGCAGCAACAGCAGCAACAACCGCAGCAGCAACCGCAGCAGCAACAUCACCAUCAGCAGCCGCAACCGCAGCAUCAGCAGCAACGUUCCGCAACACCCGCACCAGCCAGAUCGUCACCCUACUCUCCGGUUCAAGCGGUCUCGUCGACUCCGAUGGGUCAAGAAGCCACCUCGAGGAGCGAUAGCCCGGAUAAGGGCGAUUUGUCGUCCGCGCAGACCAAGGAAGAGUCCGAUAACUCGGUAUUCGACGGAGGUGGAGGCGGCGGCGGCGGCGGCGGCGGCGGCGGCGGUGGCGGUGGCGGUGGCGGUAGCGGUCGCUCGGAAGCCUCCAGCCAACCUAGUCACCGGAACAGCCCGUCGUCGCAGUUCAACCCGAGCCAGAGCGUCAGUCCGGGUGGUGGGACCGCGCACGGGCCGCAACAACAAGCGCCGCAGACCUCGCCGACGCUGACGAGGCCGCGCGCACCCUCGGUGCCGCCGCACCUGUUGGCGCACCAUCAUCAGUUCUGGUCGCAGAAUACCGGUAUGCAAGGAUUCGCCACGCAGAGGCUACUCAACGGCGUCAUCAGCAGCGUCGGCUACGGCCAGAACGCCACCGCCGUCUCCACGAGCAGCGGUACCAGCACCAGCGGGAACGUCGCCAGCUGUGUCACCACCGGUGCUACCACCACAGCAACGUGCGAAGGGAUGAAACCACCGGCGCAGAGAGCAGCGCCGGCACCACCGCGGCCCCCGCCUACAGUGAUAAUGGGCGAGAUCGGCGGCGUCCGGACAAUGAUAUGGUCGGCGCCGCUGGACCCGGUACCGCCGCCUGCAGCGUCGUGGACGACGACCGCGGCGGCAGCGGCAUCGUGCUCCUCGUCGGAGGAGUCUGCCGCCCAGCUGCUGCUGAACCUCGGCCAAGAGUCCCGGGGUAAACCGCCCACCUCGUCGGUGUCGUACUCGUCCGGACCACCGCUCAACAUGGAGAGGCUAUGGGCCGGCGAUCUCACACAGCUGCCAGCCGCUCAACAGAUGCAGGCGCUGAAUCUGACCGCCUCUGGUUCCGGCCAGCCGUGGGUGAGCAACGGUGGGGUCGUCAAGUCCGAGGCGGCCUCGCAAUCUAUAUCGAUAGCGCCGCCGGCGCCGCCGUUGCCGCCCCAGGAGCACGAGGAGGACGAGACGCCGAUGAUUUGCAUGAUCUGCGAGGACAAGGCGACCGGCCUGCACUACGGUAUCAUCACGUGCGAAGGGUGCAAAGGGUUCUUCAAGAGGACUGUACAAAAUAGGCGGGUGUACACGUGUGUAGCGGAGGGCGGCUGCGAGAUCACGAAGGCGCAGAGGAACAGGUGUCAGUAUUGCCGAUUCAAGAAGUGCAUCGAACAGGGUAUGGUCCUGCAGGCGGUUCGGGAGGACCGGAUGCCUGGGGGCAGGAAUUCCGGUGCAGUGUACAACCUCUACAAGGUGAAGUACAAGAAGCACAAAAAGAGUAACAAGGCGGGUGGCGUCGGUGGCGGCAUGGGAGGCGGUAUGGGUGGCGGCGGCAAUGUCGGUGGUGUGAACGGGUCGGGUUCUUUGGCUGGCAGCAAGGGCACCAUGGCUUCGACCAUGUUGGACAAACACAUGGCCGCGGCCGCGGCGGCUCAUCACAGUCAGCAACAGCAGCAGCAGCAGCAGCAGCAGCAGCAGCAGCAGCAGCAGCAGCAGCAACAGCAGCAGCAGCAGCAGCAUGCGCAGCUCGCCGGCAGCUUCCUUCACCAUCACAAAAUCUCGUCGGGCGAUCCGCUCAACUCGCAACCCACCCCUAGCCACCCGAGUCACCCCGCGCACACGGGCCACCUCGUCAACGGGACGAUCCUGAAGACGGCGCUCACCAAUCCCUCCGAAGUUGUGCAUUUGCGGCCAAGGCUAGACAAUGCAGUAAGCAGUUCGAGGGAUCGAGCCUUUCCUCUGGACGCGACCCUAACCAUGAUCCAAACCCUCAUAGACUGCGACGAGUUUCAAGAUAUCGCCACACUGAGGAACUUGGACGAGCUGCUGGACCAUAACUCAGACUUAAGUGAGAAGCUGUGUCAGAUAGGAGACAGUAUAGUGUACAAGUUGGUGCAGUGGACCAAAAGGUUACCGUUUUACCUUGAGCUGCCAGUUGAAGUUCACACGAGGCUGCUCACCCACAAGUGGCAUGAACUCCUCGUGCUGACCACGUCUGCUUACCAAGCGAUGCAUGGUCAGCACAGGUUCACCAGUGUCGGAACCGACGAGACGGGUGCGGAGUUUAUGCAGGAAGUAUCGAACAACAUGUAUACGUUGCAAACGUGCCUAACCAGCAUGAUGGGUCGAUCGAUAACCAUGGACCAAUUACGGCAAGACGUAGGGGUCAUGGUGGAAAAGAUCACGUAUGUCACGCUAAUGUUCAGGCGGGUGAGGCUACGGAUGGAGGAAUACGUCUGUCUAAAAGUAAUCACUAUGCUCUCACAAGACGCGAAAUCACGAGGAGGUACAACGGAAUUAGAACAGAUACAAGAACGUUAUAUGAAUUGUCUACGAAGUUUUGUCGAGCACAGCGCACCUCAGCAGCCGACUCGAUUUCACGAACUUCUCAUCAGAUUGCCCGAGGUGCAAUCGGCGGCGGCUCUACUACUCGAGAGUAAAAUGUUCUACGUUCCUUUCCUAUUGAACUCAGCAAUUCAAAGAUAGUAAUUAAACAAAAUGACGAUAAACGAAGCUGAAUACCUAUAUACAUACUAUACAUAUAUAUAAAUAUAUACACACAGAAAAAAGAGUAAGAGAACCGAACAAACAGACAACAGCAAAUGACAAACGAACCGAGAAAAACGGAAAAAUAGAGCCCGUGAAAAAGUAAGAGAGAAAAAGAGAGUGAGGACUCGAGCCGAAUGGGGAAAGGCUUUGUUUGUAAGGCGGAAAGGGAAAGGAAGGAUCGUUCAGGCGGGCGAAGAAUUAAAAGGAAUGAAAAGAGCAGUGGACGAUAAAAAGUAACCACGUUGGAAACAGCGAAAGACGAGAAAAUAAAGAGAGAAAGAGAGAGAGAGAGAGAGAGAGAGAGAGAGAA